This 163-nucleotide ribosomal RNA is filed under the name uncultured bacterium. RNAcentral describes it as "partial 16S rRNA". It matches the Rfam family "Bacterial small subunit ribosomal RNA", at positions 358 to 511 of the family's 1533-position model. The record is from RNAcentral.
GGAAUCUUCGGGCAAUGGGGGCAACCCUGACCGAGCAACGCCGCGUGAGUGAAGAAGGUUUUCGGAUCGUAAAGCUCUGUUGUAAGAGAAGAACGUGUGUGAGAGUGGAAAGUUCACACAGUGACGGUAACUUACCAGAAAGGGACGGCUAACUACGUGCCAG